RNAcentral lists this ribosomal RNA (629 nucleotides) under uncultured bacterium. RNAcentral describes it as "bacterial SSU rRNA". The stretch from base 1 to 518 matches the Rfam family "Bacterial small subunit ribosomal RNA", at positions 338 to 873 of the family's 1533-position model. The record is from RNAcentral.
CCUACGGGAGGCAGCAGUGGGGAAUAUUGGACAAUGGGCGAAAGCCUGAUCCAGCAAUGCCGCGUGAGUGAUGAAGGCCUUAGGGUUGUAAAGCUCUUUUACUAGGGAUGAUAAUGACAGUACCUAGAGAAUAAGCCCCGGCUAACUCCGUGCCAGCAGCCGCGGUAAUACGGAGGGGGCUAGCGUUGUUCGGAAUUACUGGGUGUAAAGAGUACGUAGGCGGUUAUUCAAGUCAGAGGUGAAAGCCUGGAGCUCAACUCCAGAACUGCCUUUGAAACUAGAUAGCUAGAAUCAUGGAGAGGUUAGUGGAAUUCCGAGUGUAGAGGUGAAAUUCGUAGAUAUUCGGAAGAACACCAGUGGCGAAGGCGACUAACUGGACAUGUAUUGACGCUGAGGUACGAAAGCGUGGGGAGCAAACAGGAUUAGAUACCCUGGUAGUCCACGCCGUAAACGAUGAUAACUAGCUGUUCGGGCUCUCAGAGNUGUAGUGGCGCGAGCUAACGACAUAAGUUAAUACCGUCCGUCGGGUAGGUACGGUACGGCGAAGAAGUUAAAACGUUAACUAAAUAAGUUAAGUUAGUACGGUUCGUUGAGACGUUCGCCGACGGACGACGACGAGGGAGGAGGAG